GUCACGCUGUAAACGAUGUCGAUUUGGAGUUUGGGGGCAUGACCCUUGGGCUCCGGAGCUAACGCGUUAAAUCGACCGCCUGGGGAGUACGGCCGCAAGGUUAAAACUCAAAUGAAUUGACGGGGGCCCGCACAAGCGGUGGAGCAUGUGGUUUAAUUCGAUGCAACGCGAAGAACCUUACCUGGUCUUGACAUCCAUAGAAUCUUUCAGAGAUGAGAGAGUGCCUUCGGGAGCUAUGAGACAGGUGCUGCAUGGCUGUCGUCAGCUCGUGUUGUGAAAUGUUGGGUUAAGUCCCGCAACGAGCGCAACCCCUAUCCUUUGUUGCCAGCACGUAAUGGUGGGAACUCAAAGGAGACUGCCGUUGAUAAAGCGGAGGAAGGUGGGGACGACGUCAAGUCAUCAUGGCCCUUACGACCAGGGCUACACACGUGCUACAAUGGCGUAUACAAAGGGAUGCGAAGGUGCGAACUGGAGCGGACCUCACAAAGUACGUCUAAGUCCGGAUUGGAGUCUGCAACUCGACUCCAUGAAGUCGGAAUCGCUAGUAAUCGUGAAUCAGAAUGUCACGGUGAAUACGUUCCCGGGCCUUGUACACACCGCCCGUCACACCAUGGGAGUGGGUUGCACCAGAAGUAGAUAGCUUAACCUUCGGGAGGGCGUUUACCACGGUGUGGUUCAUGACUGGGGUGAAGUCGUAACAAGGUAACCA
Molecule: ribosomal RNA, 709 nt
Filed under: uncultured Enterobacteriaceae bacterium
Lineage: Bacteria; Pseudomonadati; Pseudomonadota; Gammaproteobacteria; Enterobacterales; Enterobacteriaceae
Description: bacterial SSU rRNA
Rfam family: Bacterial small subunit ribosomal RNA
Source: RNAcentral